RNAcentral lists this ribosomal RNA (231 nucleotides) under Triticum aestivum (bread wheat). Its description in RNAcentral is "partial small subunit ribosomal RNA". The record is from RNAcentral. Lineage: Eukaryota; Viridiplantae; Streptophyta; Magnoliopsida; Poales; Poaceae.
AUGAAUGUCUUGGCCUGGAACUGUCGAGGGUUGGGGUUGGACUCGAUAGUGGGCGAACUUCGUGACCUGAUUAGGUCCUACAAUCCAGCGGUGGUAUUCUUAUGUGAAACAAAAAAAAUAGCGAGGGCUAUGGAGAAACUUAAGUGGAGAUUGGGAUUUAGGAGUGGAGUGGCUGUUGACUGCAAUGGAAGGAGUGGAGGGCUAGCGUUAUGGUGGCGGGAAAGCAUACAA